Long non-coding RNA from Silurus meridionalis, 413 nucleotides. RefSeq lists it as uncharacterized. The transcript has 3 exons. The record is from RefSeq and is a predicted model, not a curated record. NCBI's taxonomy places the organism in Eukaryota, Metazoa, Chordata, Actinopteri, Siluriformes, Siluridae.
CCAGAAAAAAGAGGGUUUGCUAGGUUUGUGAACAGGUGAAAGAAGCUUGGAAGGUCCUUGGUUUGGAUUUAAUUGGACCGCUACCAGAAACAGCACGCAGCAACAAGUAUGUCCUUACCAUGAGCGACCUGUACACCAAGUGGGUGAUUGCAGAACACGUGCGAUCAAAGACAGCGGCUGAGGAGUCUGCAAUAAUAACCACAAAGUUGUACUCGUUCAGCACGGUUAGGAAAAUCAUCACAGACUGAUGGAAGGAGUUCGUUAACAAGAAAAGAAAGGCAGGAGACACAUUGACAAGUCAGCACCAUCGACCAUAUUCUGUGUCCAGCAUCUCUUCCAAAGGUGUAAGCACUAAUGUGAAAGGGUCUGCUUGCAAGAGAGACAAUGUGUCAAGACUGAGGACAUGCUAAGAU